UCAGGAAGCCAUAUCAUCCUGAAUGCAACUAAUAUCACCUGAGUUUGGAAGCUCAAUAGGGUCAGGCCUGGUUAGCACUUGUAUGGUAGAACUUCAGGGCUGGAGAGAUGGCUUGGU
Molecule: ribosomal RNA, 117 nt
Filed under: Jaculus jaculus (lesser Egyptian jerboa)
Lineage: Eukaryota; Metazoa; Chordata; Mammalia; Rodentia; Dipodidae
Source: RNAcentral